RNAcentral lists this transfer RNA (63 nucleotides) under Thelymitra benthamiana. RNAcentral's name for it is "partial tRNA-Leu". The record is from RNAcentral. Lineage: Eukaryota; Viridiplantae; Streptophyta; Magnoliopsida; Asparagales; Orchidaceae.
ACUAAAAACGGGGAAAAUCCGUCGAAUUUCAAAUUCGUGAGGGUUCAAGUCCCUCUAUCCCCA